UUGGUGUGUAUGGAAGAGAUCACUAGGAU
Molecule: non-coding RNA, 29 nt
Filed under: Mus musculus (house mouse)
Lineage: Eukaryota; Metazoa; Chordata; Mammalia; Rodentia; Muridae
Source: RNAcentral